AGCUCCAAUAGCGUAUAUUAAAGUUGUUGCAGUUAAAAAGCUCGUAGUUGAACUUCAGGCCUGGCGGGGUGGUCCGCCUCACGGUGUGUACUGCCCGGCUGGGCCUUACCUCUUGGUGAGCCCGUAUGCCGUUUACUCGGUGUGCGGGGGAACCAGGAAUUUUACUUUGAAAAAAUUAGAGUGUUCAAAGCAGGCAUAUGCCCGAAUACAUUAGCAUGGAAUAAUAGAAUAGGACGUGCGGUUCUAUUU
Molecule: ribosomal RNA, 249 nt
Filed under: uncultured Tremellomycetes
Lineage: Eukaryota; Fungi; Basidiomycota; Tremellomycetes
Description: partial small subunit ribosomal RNA
Rfam family: Eukaryotic small subunit ribosomal RNA
Source: RNAcentral